GUAGGUGGCAAGCGUUGUCCGGAUUUAUUGGGUUUAAAGGGUGCGUAGGCGGUUUUCUAAGUCAGCAGUGAAAUACGGCAGCUCAACUGUCGAGGUGCUGUUGAUACUGGGGAACUUGAGUACUGAUGAGGUAGGCGGAAUGGACGGCGUAGCGGUGAAAUGCUUAGAGAUCGUCCAGAACACCGAUAGCGAAGGCAGCUUACUAAGGAGUAACUGACGCUGAGGCACGAAAGUGUGGGGAUCAAACAGGAUUAGAUACCCUGGUAGUCCACACUGUAAACGAUGAUUACUCGAUGUGUGCGAUACACGGCACGCGUCUUAGCAAAAGCGAUAAGUAAUCCACCUGGGGAGUACGCCGGCAAC
Molecule: ribosomal RNA, 363 nt
Filed under: uncultured bacterium
Lineage: Bacteria
Description: bacterial SSU rRNA
Rfam family: Bacterial small subunit ribosomal RNA
Source: RNAcentral